CUACGGGCGGCAGCAGUGAGGAAUAUUGCGCAAUGGACGAAAGUCUGACGCAGCCAUGCCGCGUGCAGGAUGACGGCCCUAUGGGUUGUAAACUGCUUUUGUAUGGGAAUAAACCCUUCUACGUGUAGAAGGCUGAAGGUACCAUAAGAAUAAGCACCGGCUAACUCCGUGCCAGCAGCCGCGGUAAUACGGAGGGUGCAAGCGUUAUCCGGAUUUAUUGGGUUUAAAGGGUCCGUAGGCGGGCCGAUAAGUCAGUGGUGAAAGCCCAUAGCUCAACUAUGGAACUGCCAUUGAUACUGUCGGUCUUGAGUAUAUGUGAUGUUGGCGGAAUGUGUAGUGUAGCGGUGAAAUGCUUAGAUAUUACACAGAACACCGAUUGCGAAGGCAGCUGACAAAUAUAUAACUGACGCUGAGGGACGAAAGUGUGGGGAUCAAACAGGAUUAGAUACCCUUGUAGUC
RNAcentral lists this ribosomal RNA (459 nucleotides) under uncultured bacterium. Its description in RNAcentral is "partial 16S ribosomal RNA". It matches the Rfam family "Bacterial small subunit ribosomal RNA", at positions 339 to 795 of the family's 1533-position model. The record is from RNAcentral.